GUAGUGGCAACGUUAUCUGUCAAGUAUUUGGCGUAAAAAAGCGUGGGCAGUGGUUUAGUAUGAUGUGAAAAAACACCGGUCAUCAGUGGAGGGUCACAGUAGACUGGAAAAGUCUGUGCAGCAGAGGAGGAGUGGAAUUCCAUGUGUAGCGGUGAAAAAUGCAGAGAUAUAAGGAACACCAGUGGCGAAGAAAGACGGUUCUCUCUGUAAUAGACGACGAUGUGCGUAAGCGUGGGGAUCAGACAGCAUGAGAUGCCCUCGUAGUACUCCCCGUAAUCAAUGAGUACUAAGAGAUAUGGGGUUUCCUCACUUUAGUGUAGCACAGAAAGCAUUAAGCACUCUGCGCGGGGAGUGUGCGCGCAAGGGUGUAAAUCAAAAGAAAAGUCGGGGGGCCCCACACGAGGUGGAGCACGUGGUUUAAUUUGAAGCAAAACGAGAAGCCCUUUCACAUCUCUACAUCUUCUGACCCUUUUAGAGAAAAAAUUUUGCCCUUUGGGGGCCAGAGUUACAGGUGGUGCAUGGUUGUCGUCAGCUCGUGUCGUGAGAUGUUGGGUUAAGUCCCGCAACGAGCGCAACCCUUAAGGUUAGUUGCCAUCAUUAAGUUGGGCACUCUAAGUUGACUGCCGGUGACAAACCGGAGGAAGGUGGGGAUGACGUCAAAUCAUCAUGCCCCUUAUGACUUGGGCUACACACGUGCUACAAUGGACAAUACAAAGAGUGGCGAAACCGUGAGGUCAAGCUAAUCCCAAAAACCUGUUCUCAGUUCGAUUUGUAGUCUGCACUCGCCUACAGAAUCGGGAAUCGCUAGUAUCGCGGAUCAGCAUGCCACGUGAAUACGUCCCGGGGUCUUUACACACCGCCCUCACACCACGGAAGUUUGAACCCCGAAGUACGUUGGCUUACCGCAAGGAGCCGCCGUUAAGAAGACAA
RNAcentral lists this ribosomal RNA (930 nucleotides) under bacterium Mle7. RNAcentral's name for it is "bacterial SSU rRNA". It matches the Rfam family "Bacterial small subunit ribosomal RNA", at positions 528 to 1470 of the family's 1533-position model. The record is from RNAcentral.